This 139-nucleotide long non-coding RNA is filed under the name Cottoperca gobio. RNAcentral describes it as "lncRNA (ENSCGOG00000009679.1)". Lineage: Eukaryota; Metazoa; Chordata; Actinopteri; Perciformes; Bovichtidae. The record is from RNAcentral.
UCGGACGUCCUGAUUCCUCUGAACCCUGCAGACUCUCAGACAGUAAAAGUGAUCUAACUGCUGCGAGUGAAGUCCUGGAGACCGGUCGGGAGACUGUUCAGCUGUUUUGCAUGAGAGCAAAGGAUCCACCAGGUGGCGC